This 253-nucleotide ribosomal RNA is filed under the name uncultured bacterium. RNAcentral describes it as "partial 16S ribosomal RNA". It matches the Rfam family "Bacterial small subunit ribosomal RNA", at positions 524 to 776 of the family's 1533-position model. The record is from RNAcentral.
UACGUAGGGUGCGAGCGUUGUUCGGAAUCAUUGGGCGUAAAGAGCGUGUAGGCGGUUUGUUAAGUCUGAUGUGAAAGCCCGGGGCUCAACCCCGGAAGUGCAUUGGAUACUGGCAAACUCGAGGGUGAGAGAGGAAGGUGGAAUUCCAGGUGUAGGGGUGAAAUCCAUAGAUAUCUGGAGGAACAUCGGUAGCGAAGGCGGCCUUCUGGCUCACUUCUGACGCUGAGACGCGAAAGCGUGGGUAGCAAACAGG